Molecule: long non-coding RNA, 638 nt
Organism: Taeniopygia guttata (zebra finch)
Lineage: Eukaryota; Metazoa; Chordata; Aves; Passeriformes; Estrildidae
Source: RefSeq, a predicted model, not a curated record
GCAGCCCUCGGCCCCGGCCCUCCCGCGGGAAGCCGCCCUGCCCUGCCCGGCCCUCCCGGCGCUGCGCUGCCCGGCGGCUCGGCAGCGCUGUCCGGGGCGGGACGCCAGCCCCGCGGCCGCCGCCCGCCGCCGCCCUCAGCCCAGCCUCCCUCGCCCGCGUCCCCGCCCGGCCCUGCCGGCAAAGCCGAGGGGCGGCCGGAGGGAAGCCGGGCUGGGCUCUGAGCAGGGCUCGCCUUCCCCGCUGCCAUCUGCGGAGCGGCUGCCCAGCCCGUGCUCGAUUUUAUUCUAAUUUCACAGGGUUUUAUGAAGCGGUUGGUUUUUUGGGUUUUUUUGGCUUUUUGAGUUUGAUUUUUUUUUUUUCCCAGAUCUUGACGCUCAGCAAUGUCUUAAACGGAUUACACGGAGGAGGGGUUGAAGCUGAAAACCUCAUUCAUCCAUCCUCACGGCGGUUCUAUUCAUUGCUGAAAUAGGUGUAGCGUAGGAGCCGAGGGGCUCCAGCCAACUGUGUGGUCUCACGUACCGUUGCUCCCGCUGAAUAGCUUCCAAGUUUGAGGUAAAAGAACAAAUCGCACUUUUCAGGGACUUAAUAAGACGCUCAGAAAUAAAAAAAUAAUUAAAAAUGAAAAUAAUAAAAAAAA